RNAcentral lists this long non-coding RNA (296 nucleotides) under Pan troglodytes (chimpanzee). Its description in RNAcentral is "long non-coding RNA NONPTRT005532". The record is from RNAcentral. Lineage: Eukaryota; Metazoa; Chordata; Mammalia; Primates; Hominidae.
CCAUCUAGGUGGCAGGCCAGCCUUCAAACCUCUGCACAUCCUCACUGAAUGGGGCCCCCACUCCAUGUCCUCUACUGCCAACUCUUAGCCAUCUCCACCUCGCUCCUAGGAGUCCCAGAAAGCUGUGAGUGCCCCCCAGGCCAUUUCAGCCCUGCAGAGGACAAGUGCCACCGCACCUCUGUCCCAGUCUCCUCCAGACCGUGUCUCUCCAGGUGGCCACCAGCCAGGCCACAGAGUCUCAGAGGAAAGAGGGGGUCCAAGUUCCUCUGCCUUGGCAUCCCUCAACCUACCAUGAG